RNAcentral lists this ribosomal RNA (249 nucleotides) under uncultured bacterium. RNAcentral's name for it is "partial 16S ribosomal RNA". It matches the Rfam family "Bacterial small subunit ribosomal RNA", at positions 57 to 305 of the family's 1533-position model. The record is from RNAcentral.
GCAAGUCGAGGGGUAGCAGGGAGCUUGCUCCGCUGACGACCGGCGCACGGGUGCGUAACGCGUAUAGAACUUACCUUUUACAGGGGGAUAGCCUUUAGAAAUGAAGAUUAAUAUCCCAUAGUAUUGCGAAAUGGCAUCAUUUUGUAAUUAAAGAUUUAUCGGUAAAAGAUGGCUAUGCGUCCUAUUAGCUAGAUGGUAAGGUAACGGCUUACCAUGGCAACGAUAGGUAGGGGUCCUGAGAGGGAGAUC